This 253-nucleotide ribosomal RNA is filed under the name uncultured bacterium. Its description in RNAcentral is "partial 16S ribosomal RNA". It matches the Rfam family "Bacterial small subunit ribosomal RNA", at positions 524 to 776 of the family's 1533-position model. The record is from RNAcentral.
UACAGAGACUGCAAGCGUUAUUCGGAUUCACUGGGCGUAAAGGGUGCGCAGGCGGCCGCAUGUGUUAGGUGUGAAAUCCUGAGGCUCAACCUCAGAAUUGCGCCUAAAACUGUGCGGCUAGAGUCCCGGAGAGGGUAGCGGAAUUCACGGUGUAGCAGUGAAAUGCGUAGAUAUCGUGAAGAACACCAGAGGCGAAGGCGGCUACCUGGAAGGCGACUGACGCUAAUGCACGAAAGCGUGGGGAGCAAAAGGG